This 304-nucleotide ribosomal RNA is filed under the name uncultured bacterium. Its description in RNAcentral is "bacterial SSU rRNA". It matches the Rfam family "Bacterial small subunit ribosomal RNA", at positions 29 to 313 of the family's 1533-position model. The record is from RNAcentral.
AGUGAACGCUGGCGGUGUGCUUAACACAUGCAAGUCGAACGAGAACGGACUAAAGUUUACUUUAGUUGUCAGCUAAGUGGCGCACGGGUGAGUAAUCUAUAGCUAACCUACCCUAAAGAGGGGGAUAAUUAAUGGAAACGUUUUGUAAUACCCUAUACCUCUUAUCUACACAAGUAUAUAAGGAAGUAAAACUUUAGUGUCUUUAGGAGUGGGGCUGUAUUGUAUCAGCUUAGGUUGGUGGUAGUAAGUCGGACCAACCGAAGGCUAUGACGCAUAACUGGUUUGAGAGGAUGAUCAGUCACAC